This is a non-coding RNA of Physcomitrium patens, 2741 nucleotides long. The record is from RefSeq and is a predicted model, not a curated record. Lineage: Eukaryota; Viridiplantae; Streptophyta; Bryopsida; Funariales; Funariaceae.
GCAAUACAAACUUUACUUAUUCAAAAACAUGUCAUUACAACAUUUUUAUGUUUUUUAAAUCACAAACUUCCACAAUGUCAAAUCACAACAAAACCCAUAUCUAAACCAGAAAUAAUACACAAUCCUGGAAGUAAAGACCAGCCCCAAAUUGCUAUACAAAGCGCACAAGAGUACCCUUGAGACAAAUUAGGGCUGACGGCAGCAUUAUGAGCAACAAACGAUGCAGGCGAGGUGCUUUCUCCCUUUGGUCUCUGCAUUGCAGCAUGAGCACAGGUUCUAAGCACGACCGGGCUCUACAUCAAAGAGACGUGCAAUACAUCACAUGCUAACUGAAUGCUUGCCGAAGCUUCAAACCCUAGCCCUAGUUUUUGAGCUCCUCACAACACAACAGGUGCACUCGCUCUACAGCUUUAGUGUUGGAGAUGAUCGACAUCAGCUGGGUGAGUGUCGAAAUGGGGUCUCGCAACUGCACAGGAAAAGGGUGCCGAGAAAAACUCGUACUUGCCACUCAAUCUUGGAGCGGUCCUUUGCUAAGUUCAGUGGCCUAGAGAUCAUUUCGUGUUACAUGAUGCUAAUGUGUGUUUCAGCAAUGGGUUGUGUUUACUUUACAAGAUUUGAACUCGAAUGAAAACCAUGAACCCAUAUAUGAAUCACCCUUUUUCGUCUUUCUGGAUGCACAAAUGGGCACGCGGAUAUCAUGCCAGAACUCGAUUGGGACUUUCAAAUUACUUCAGAGGAGAGUCUGCGCCACUUGCAUGAUUCCCACCACAUCCGAAAAUGGAUCAAUGCGUCAUUCUACAGGCGGGACAACGGAGUUCUCGAUGCAAAUCGUAAUGUCGAUCGGGUUGGACGCAGGAUAGGCAAUCGGACUCGUGAAUUGGAAAUCGGAGACCUUCAUUCCUCGUUUCAUUUAAGCAAAAGCCAGGGGAAAAGAUGCACAAUUGAAGUUGCAGAGAUAUGGCCAGCCAUGGUGCCUUGCCACCGUCUCUGGCACGGCUAGAGCCUCGCUCAGAAAAAUCACGAAGCGGGUCCCCGGAGCCUCUGAGCAGCGAGAGGGAUGACACGUUUAUCCAGCUCAACCAGCACAUUGAUGUGGAGAAGGAGAUUACUCAGUUCGUGGAGGAGUUGGACGAAUAUGAGGGCAGAGAGGAGUUGGUCUUUACCUCAAAAACACGAAAAAGCCCUUGUGCGGAAAAUGUAAAUAACUGGGGUGGAGAUGUCAUCGCCCCCGGAUCCACUGACAGGGACAACAAUGCCUCUUCACUCUUCUAGAAGACGAGCCAUGCCACUGAGCAGAAGGAUGGCGUCCCCGUCUCCGUGCUUGCAGCCCACUUUGAGAGAAAGGAUUCGCGUUAUCCUUCAUUUGUUGGAGCUAGGAAUAGUGUGAGCAUGACAGGCACCACAACGGCUGGAUCGUUCCGAACGUUGCAACGUAGUCCGAUCCGGAGGACUUCUAUGGCGGUUACUUAUCCUGCCCUUUCUCCGCAGGUGGUCGAGGUUAUCAGGUCCCUAGAAGAACACAGGAAAAAAGCUGAAGAAGAGGGCAAACUGCAUGGACGCACGAGCUGUGGCCCAACGCCUGAAUGGUGUGAAGAUCUUGGAAGAUAACAAGGGAAAAGCUGCCAUGCUCAAGACAUUCACAAGAAAGAGUAGACUCUGGGAGAUUGCAUGAAAAAGAAACUGAAGCGACAAAUCUGAUUUGGGAUGAGAAGUUGCACGAGUUCCACAAAGGAGUAGUGCAGCAUGCAGCGACGUUGAAACGUGAACAACUCAGUGUUAUACAAGCCUUCAGGCAACGCUCAACUGCAAAAGCACCCACUAAACCCCAGUGGUCUCCUGCGCUUCUAAAACACAGAAAAGUGCAGACAGCAUGGAGCUUUUAGAGCUACGAGCAACAAUAGCUGCAUAUGCAGCUGAGGUAGCACUCAAAGAACAAGCUCUCCGAACCAAGCAACAAAACGAAAUGGAGGUUUUGUUGCAAUGGGCUGCCGAAGGACGUGAUGAGCUUCGAAAGCAGAGAGACACGGACCAUGCCAGAUGCAUAGGGAGUUGUGGGGCAUCCAGAAACAAGAACAUGUGAAAGUUGAACAAAUAUUGGGUAAACGAAUUGAUGAAUUCCAGAGGAGUGGUGGGAGUCUGGUUAUGCUUUCGGACACUAUGAGUGGUAUGGGCUCCUUGACACUACCUGGAAAUCAGUCCUCAUGACCUGAAGGAGAUGAAGCUGCACCAUCUUACGGACGUUCACUUGGAUCCAGGUAAAAAAUUUGUGACAAAAAUUGUGAUUGAUGAGAUAGUUUCAUCCACACUCUAGCACCGUAGAACAGUUUUAGGAAACAAUAUGAACAUGAAUACUUGGUUUUGGUUGUCUUGUGUGUACUCGUGUAGAUAUGAAUCGUAGAUACAAAAUGUUUCAUAUUUGAAAUGAAUAAGUGUAUAUGUGUUUUUUAUUAGUUAAUAAUAAGUAGAUUCAAUGUGGGUUAAAACAGACUUUAUAUAGGAAAUAAUAUAUAAAACUAUAUUAUUAUGUUUGAAAAGCAAUGAACCUGUAUAUUAUUUAUUUUGGAUAUGGAAAUUUUGGUACCCGUCUUGGCUAUUUUGAUACCUUACAGUUGUUUAUUGAUUGUUUGAGAGUGAAGGACAAGAAGAGUAAUGGUGAAAAAAUAUUUUAUAUUCUCAAACAAACUAAUGACCAAUUCUAGGAGCACCAAAAUAGUUAGAGGAUACUAAAACAUUGGUUUGUU